This 851-nucleotide long non-coding RNA is filed under the name Physcomitrium patens. RNAcentral describes it as "long non-coding RNA (PPAT_LNC006240)". Lineage: Eukaryota; Viridiplantae; Streptophyta; Bryopsida; Funariales; Funariaceae. The record is from RNAcentral.
AUGAUCAAACAUCAAUCAAAUUCAAUCAAAAUUGCAAAGGAAUUAUGUAAGAACACAAAGUAUUCCUAAAGACUCUUUAAAAAAAUCAUAAUGAAAUAACAUAGAAAUUCAAAAAUAUACUAAAAUAAUAAUCUUAAUAAAAUAUUAAAAUAGAAACUUUAAUUAAAUCUUAAUCAAAUUCUAAUCAAAUCCUAAAUAAAUUCUACAUAAAUUCUAAUAUAUCCUAAUCAAAUCCUAAAAAAAUCCUAAAAAAAUCCUAAAAAAAUACUAAAUAAAUUCUAAUCAAAUCCUAAACAAAUUCUAAAAAAAUCUUAAUGAAAUCCUAAAAAAAUCUUAACCAAAUCUUAGUCAAGCCCUAAAAAAAUCCUAAAUAAAUCCUAAUCAAAUCCUAAAUAAAUCUUAGUCAAAUCUUAACCAAAUUCUAAAUAAAUCCAAUAGCAGAUUUAAACCUCAAUAAUUAAAGAAUGAACCAUUGAUUUUAACUGAAAUUUUGCACACCUCUUUAUAAUUAAUUUCAAAACAAGCAAAUUUCUUUUGAAAAAGAUCAAAUUCACCGAAAAAAAAUCAACCCUAAUAUUUGUACGGAUGUUAGCCGACCUCCUUCUCCAAUCUUAAUAUUGAAUUUCUAGUGCCAAUAUGUCGUUAUUGAAUUAUUCAAUUGAUCUCAAACUUCUUAUAUAUGUAGGAAAACAAGUCUACUAUUCAUAUACAUAAUUUUCACUCCAAUCUAAUUUAUAGAUUAUAAGAAAUUUUAAAAACCCUCACUGGAUCUAAAACUCUACUUUUUGAGACUCCGACCUACUUAAACCUCAAUAACACUCGAUUCAAUCCUUUGAUCUAGCUCAAACUCA